RNAcentral lists this ribosomal RNA (544 nucleotides) under unidentified oral bacterium RP55-2. RNAcentral's name for it is "bacterial SSU rRNA". It matches the Rfam family "Bacterial small subunit ribosomal RNA", at positions 8 to 521 of the family's 1533-position model. The record is from RNAcentral.
AGAGUUUGAUCCUGGCUCAGGACGAACGCUGGCGGCGUGCUUAACACAUGCAAGUCGAACGAAGAGCGAUGGAAGCUUGCUUCUAUCAAUCUUAGUGGCGAACGGGUGAGUAACGCGUAAUCAACCUGCCCUUCAGAGGGGGACAACAGUUGGAAACGACUGCUAAUACCGCAUACGAUCUAACCUCGGCAUCGAGGAUGGAUGAAAGGUGGCCUCUAUUUAUAAGCUAUCACUGAAGGAGGGGAUUGCGUCUGAUUAGCUAGUUGGAGGGGUAACGGCCCACCAAGGCGAUGAUCAGUAGCCGGUCUGAGAGGAUGAACGGCCACAUUGGGACUGAGACACGGCCCAGACUCCUACGGGAGGCAGCAGUGGGGAAUCUUCCGCAAUGGACGAAAGUCUGACGGAGCAACGCCGCGUGAGUGAUGACGGCCUUCGGGUUGUAAAGCUCUGUUAAUCGGGACGAAAGGCCUUCUUGCGAAUAGUUAGAAGGAUUGACGGUACCGGAAUAGAAAGCCACGGCUAACUACGUGCCAGCAGCCGCGGU